GUUCCAUCCAUGUAAUAGUAGUAUUAGUAUAUGAUCACUAACAUUGUUAACAAUCCAUUAAAACACUGUGAAAUGGUAUUUUUGACAUGACAAUGUUCCUUUCCCCCUGUUCCCAUCGAUUCCAAAAGUAUAUGUGAAUGGGAAUGCUUAUUGCACAAAAGCUUGCUUCAGGCAAAGGACCUUCGAGAAGCAUUGGUCAUCAAACUAAAGCUCAUCUUCAUGCCUUCUGUGGCCAUCAGGUCUGUUUCAUUUUCCCAAUUCCAUAAACUAGUGAAUCUAUGCAUUUUGGUUUCCUUUGAGCUCUUUUGUUCGAUUCUCAGUUUCAUUUAUCUAGAUGCUUCAGAUUUAAAAUAAUCUAGUGUUUGAAUGAUUCAUUUAUGUGAAAUAAUUGUGUCUUUUACUACCACUAUACUGACAUGAAGGGUAUCCACAAUUUGAUUGCUAUUACAUUUACAUGUACAUUAGUUUGGUUUUAACAAGAUAUAUGUAUCAAAUUAGAAAAGUAGAAAAUGAUGCUAAGAAUCUCCUUUAGAAAGUGGUCUUCUGUUGCCUGUUUUGUUUAUUUUAUGGUUAAUUCAGUUUCAUACUAUAAAGAACACAAAAUGCUUUGAUUCAAACAAAAACUUAUUAAAGAGACCACAUGUUCAUUAGGUUAAGGAGUGUCCCACAAAUAGAAGCUACACACACCCAUACAAUAGACCACCAGGCGUAGUAGCAAAUUUUUCGAAAUUUAUAUAGCAAUAAUAUUUUGAUGAUGCAGUUGCAUAAAAACAAAAAUUAAUAGGUUAUUUAUGAAAAGAAACAAACAACUUUCACGGCAUAAACAUUCAAUUUGGUAAGCAAAUGAGGAAUUAUUGUCAUGUUUCUCCCUACUUAAAACAAUAAACCAGCAAAGAUAUAACAACAUAUGAUUUUACUUAAACGUACACACUACAUUGCCCUCAACAAACUAACAAUCCCUUAGACAUUGAACUUUUUCCCCUUCGAUAUAUGUUUUGGCCAUUGUCAGCACAUUUUUCCCGUGAUGAUGACUAUGAAGCUCUUUGUGAUAGGAAUUAAUGAGAUUAGAAAGUUCUUUACGCAGACGGCCCUGCAAUUAGAAGAACAAGAGGGAAAAAAAGGAUUAAGCAAAAAAAUUGUAACAAUUUUAACAGAAACAUGAUCUGAAUCAAAACAUCAAUGAUCUGAGAGAAAGCAAGUUAAACCUGAAUGUAUUGUAGUGCUCUCUGAACAACAUAAUUCCCAAAGGAAUCCUGAAGAACAUUCAAGAAAUUAUGGCUUCUCAUUAUCUCCUCAACUAUAACUUGAACAUCAUUCUGGUUAGAAACUCUCAAUAAAUCUUCUACUACAUUGCUGGCAUACUUGUUCAUAGAAAGUCUAACAAACUUGCCACCAAGCUCUUUUAUUAUCCGUUCAUUUGCUGACGGAAACUUCAACUUAAUUGCAACUUGCAACACAUAGUUUCUUGAGACAUGAAAAAAAUAUCAAUUAUCAGAUACUAGUUUUAAAAUGAAGGAACAUUCAAACUCGAAGAAAUAUACCAUACUUAAAAUUUGAAAUUCCUUAAUUUGAAGGAAAACUAUUGAAGGAUACGAAUAAAACUCAAUCUUUCAGUGGUAUGUGAUGUGAUGAGUUAUUCCAUCUUACUAUUUUAUUUAAAAAGAAUUGCUUAAAUUGAAUGCUUAGUUGCUUACCAAAAGAUAAAUGUAAUGCCUCUUCUAUUAAGAUUGUGCUUAAGAUUAAGUUUAUGAUAAUGUACUUUUAGUCUAUAAAAUAAAAAUAAAAAUACCAACAAAAAAUAAUUAGGUUUAAAUGUAUUUUUGGUUACCUAUUUUAAAAAAAGUUUUGGUCCCUCAAUUUUUAAAACGGUUUUUUGGUCCCCCAAUUUAACUUUUUCAAAAUUUUGGUUCACAAUCUCAUUUUUAAAUAAUUUUUUAUGAUGUGUUUUAUUCAUUUAUGACGUGUCAAUAUACACCGAAUAUCUAUGUCAACAAAAAUAGGCUUAUGCUUAAAAAAAAACAAAAAUAGGCCUACUAACUAAGCAUUGCCAUGUUAAAAAUAAAUACGCAACGAAUAAUACUAGCAACACACUCUUUAACAAACACACUCCAACACACUCUUUUUUAUUGGUUGAAAUUCACAUGGGUCCCAUAAAAAAAUGUGGACCCAUAUAACUUUUAUGGGACCCAUAUAAAUUUUAACCAAUAGAAGAGAGUGUGUUAAAGUGUGUUUGUUAAAGAGUGUGUUGCUAGCACUCCUCAUAGGCAACAUCAUAAAAAAUAAAAAAUAAGAUGAAGGACCAAGAUUCCAAAAAAAAAAUUCCGGCAAACAAAAAACCGGUUUUUAAAAUAGGGAGACAUAAAUUUCAUUUAAAAAAAAAUAAGAGGAUCAAAAAGUGUAUUUAAGUCAAAUAAUUACUACUAAAACUAAGCUAAUAUAGAUAAUGUGAGAUAUCAAUGCACUUUGAAAUAUGAGAUGCAAAUAUACUACAAACAAACAGAUGUAUUGUUAAGAACUUCAAAAGGAAAAAUAGUUCAAGAGUUUGGAAAUCAUACCCAUAUGGAUCUUCUGCUAGGACCAUGGCACUUGAGAUGAUUUCGGUUACCAAUAGAGCUGUGGCAAUUAUAUCACCUUCUCUAAGGCAUUUUUGAAUAACUUUAGUUCCAGUUUUGUUUGUUGCAAUAUCAACACAAUUUCUUGCUACUUCAUUCAAGAUAAUCUGAAAGAAAUUUUUCAAUUAAUUGAUGAUUUUUUUUUGUCUUAUUCAUGUUUACGUUCUUAACCACUCAGCAUAACAAUAUUAAGAUGAAAUCAAAUUAAAGCACAUAGGUCAUCCAUCAUAUCUGAUAUAGUCAUUCAAAUUAAAUGUGAGAAUUUCAAACAGGACAACUUGGCCAAGAUGAAUUAGAAAUACAAUAAAAAACAAUUAUAAAUAACUUAGAGGGUAUCAUCUAAUUUGAAUUUUCAAUCUCUCCUUAUAGAAAAACAUUAAUAGAUGAUCAAAGUUUAUAUCUAUAGCAUAAAAAAUGUGAAGUAUUGCAAGAUCUUACUCAAAAAGUAUUAUAAGCAUUAAGCAAUAAAGUCAAAAGGAGAACAACUCAAGACUCAAACGUGGCAUUACUUACACUUUGGAGUUCAGGUUGGAAAAGUUUCACACAUUGCACAAUGACAUGAUUACCAUUAACAUUUUUCAUCAAUGGAACAGUGAUACGCUUCAUGGUAUUCACAACCUUAUAUUUUGUGAUUGGACAAAUGAUAUUCUCCAGCAUUAUCUGCAUAACCUGAGUUCUGCAGCAAGAAAAAGUUUUUUUAUGUAUCUCGAUCAUGAUUAAGAUUGUAUAUAUUUGACUCGCAAGAUAAAAUAUCAUGGCUAUAAUUUAAAACUUUGAUAGUAUUUACAUGCAUACCCAUGUUUGUCCAUGCACACACGUCUCAGCUUUCGAUCAUUCGAAAUAAUCAAGUUAAUAAUAUAAUUCACCUGCUCCCAGGUGAUACCUCUCCUUGCUUCACAAAUCUUUCGAAUCAAGUUGUUGCCAAAAGGAUGUGUCAUAAGCAAGUGUAAAUAAUCCUUCACUCCUGAGA
This 3582-nucleotide long non-coding RNA is filed under the name Trifolium pratense (red clover). Its description in RNAcentral is "long non-coding RNA (TPRA_LNC000035)". Lineage: Eukaryota; Viridiplantae; Streptophyta; Magnoliopsida; Fabales; Fabaceae. The record is from RNAcentral.